CUUUUGUCACCUUUUGAUAUCUGCAGACCUUUUUUGCCCAGGACAAACACCAUUGAAAUAGCUUUCAAGCUCUUCAUUCAAUUUGCCUGCACCUAUUUUGCUGCUUCUCCGUCAGAGUUAUCUUUGCCCAUUUGUUCUUUUUAGGCUUUUGAAUUUAUUUUGGUUCCAUGCCUUCUAUAUCUUUGGGAAUGGUUCUCAGAUGCUUAGGAUCAUAUCAAUAGGGCAAGAUUGAUGUAAGUAUUUCUUAGCUUUUAAAUUCUGGUUCUUUUGAUGUGAUCUUAGAAUGAUGGAGUUCUGUGUAUGAAAGUAAAAAGAGCUUUUCCUGGAUGGAUGGAAGCAAAAAGAGCUCUUCUUGGAUGGAUGAAGGUGAUAAAUCGAGAGUUCUCUUCUACCAAUCAAUUCUUUGUUUGUGUUCUUUGCCUAAAACUCACUGGCGUUCGUUGGUAAUGGCUUAACUAUUGUCUUCAUUUUAGGGAAGUUUGGAUCGGAGCAUUCUCAUCAUGUUGUUACCUUGCUAUUCGGGCUUAACAAGAUUUUGGAGGACCUCUCUUUCCCUGCUUGUUUUCUGCUGUUUUGUUGAAGUUGAUUAGGACAUUUGUGUAUUUGCUCUGCUUGUUCUCUAAUUUUCUAUAUUACUAGGGCGUUGCAACUCAUUGUUCCAGUGAAGUGAUUCGUGAUUCAAACUUGUCUUUCCAUCCUCAGAACAAGGGCUUGUAAAAUUUUUUGGAGGGAGUUAUUUUCUGACCGAUGCUAAUUGUUCUUUUGUGCUUGAGGAAUUUAGGAGUUUUGACACCUUAUUUAUAAUAUAAUUUGUCUGUGCAUCUUUUUGGUCUGCAGCAUGUCAUGCAGAGUCAACUUUCCUGAUCCACUAUGAAUGAAUAGAACGGGUUGUAACCAAGUGCAUAUCUUUGCUAUUCAACAGUUUAUUUCGGGAAAAACUGUCUAUGAAUGCUUUCAACCUACCCAUUCCAUUCACCUAAGGUUAGCAUUUUUUUGGCUUUUGGAUUUGAUGGACUAGCUUAAUCCAGGCUUUUCUUUGGGGAUGGUUCUGUGCUACUCAGUAUAUAACAGGAAGUAGAUUCCGUCAUCAAACAUUUUUGUAUCGGUGGGGGGUUCCUGGUAUCUUGCUUAGUCAGCUUGAUCUGAAGAAGAGUUAAGGCUAUGCAUAUUGGUUUGAUCGAAUGGUAAAUUGUCGACAGUUUUUAUUUGAGGAUAAUUCUCAUCUUUGUGCCAAGUCUUCUGAUCCAUUCCUUUACUGAGGGUGGUGACUGGGCCUGGGCUUUUGGAUGCCAUUCUUCUUAGAAUUAUGGGAUGCGAUUCUUCUUGGAAUUAUGUAAUGGAUGUGAAUGUGAUCCUUAAUUUUGCUUUCUGCUUUAUUUUUGCAUUGCCCCUAGAUUUGAUUGAACAAGGACUUGACGCUAAUUACUAU
RNAcentral lists this long non-coding RNA (1429 nucleotides) under Coffea arabica (coffee). Its description in RNAcentral is "long non-coding RNA (CARA_LNC000114)". Lineage: Eukaryota; Viridiplantae; Streptophyta; Magnoliopsida; Gentianales; Rubiaceae. The record is from RNAcentral.